GGUGGGGCCAAGCCAAAGGGCCUCUCGGUUAGGAGCUUCUCCAUUCUAUCAGCUCUCCGGGGACAUCCAAGGCAAGACUGACACCAGCAAACGCAGCAGGAACCAUGGAGUCCUUCAGCUCAAAGAGUCUGGCCCUACAGGCUGAGAAGAAGCUACUGAGUAAGAUGGCGGGUCGGUCCGUGGCUCAUCUGUUCAUCGACGAGACGAGCAGCGAGGUGCUGGACGAGCUCUACCGCGUCUCCAAAGAGUACACGCACAGUCGGCCCCAGGCCCAGCGGGUUAUCAAGGACCUGAUCAAGGUGGCUGUCAAAGUGGCCGUGCUGCACCGCAGCGGCUGCUUCGGGCCCAGCGAGCUGGCCCUAGCUGCCCGCUUCCGCCACAAGCUGCGCCAGGGCGCCAUGACGGCGCUCAGCUUUGGCGAGGUGGCUUUCACCUUUGAGGCUGCGGUGCUGGCGGGCCUGCUGACCGAGUGCCGGGACGUGCUGCUAGAGCUGGUGGCGUCCCAUCUCACGGCCAAGUCCCACGGCCGCAUCCGCCACGUGUUCGAUCACUUCUCGGACGCCGGCCUGCUCACCGCCCUCUACGGGCCCGACUUCGCGCCGCAUCUGCACAAGAUCUGCGCGGGGCUCCGGAAGCUGCUGGACGACGGCCGACUCUGAGGGCGUCCCCGGCCGCCAGGGAACAGCAUCGAACAGGCUUCCUAACCCUGCUCAGCUACACUAAUGCUUUCCGGCUCCAGGGCCUCAGGCUUCCCCAAGCGGGCUUUGGCCUCUGAGAGCACCCCACCCCCACCCCGCCGGUGGAGACACCCAGAAGCCGAGGGUUAAGGCCUCUCUCCUGCUCCAGCCCCAGGACAGGAAACUGAAGCUGCCUGAGAAAGACGAAGUGAAACUUGGAUCUCUGUGGCCCCCGUGAGGGGGCACUUGAAACAGGGAAGCCCCCUCCUCUGUGAAGCAGGUCAUUUCCGGGCACAUCAGAGUUUGAAGAUUUCAUCCUCCUGGUCCCGAAGUGUCCGGGUCCGAGAGGUCCGGGUCAGCGGUACCGGACCUAGGACUGCUCGCUGCUGCAUCCGAGGGGAGCUCAGCUUCUGGGCAGCAGCCUUCUUGGACAGGCUGAUCUGUGAAUCAAGCUUCUUCAGGAAAUCAGAGGCAGAGAGGUCAUGGACGGGAGUGGGGGCUUCCCGGCGAGGCGUGGGAAGGGCUUCACCAUUCGCACGUCCUGAACCUGUUUCUUGUUUCUUCCUGUCAGCUGAGUGUGGCUGACCUUCAUCCUUACUUGACUGUCCUUCUUCCUCUCCAUCUCUCUCUUCCUCAGAAUCCAAACCAUUGAACAGGUCUCUGGGCUCUGUCAGGAUGGGGAUGUAGAGGGUUUUCUUCAGGAAGAUGGAGUCAUUAGUAUAAAGGCGGUUUGCACGCUUAAUCUGUUCCAUCUUUAAAAAAAAGUCACCGCAAUUAAUGACAGUAGUAAUGAUCAGUCUUCUAUCUGUACAGCAUCUUACACCUUUUAAGGUAAUGGUACAGAGUCUUAUUUGACCCAAUAACAACCCAGCUAAACUACAGAAGGCUGGUAUUAUUCCUAUUUUACUGAUCAGCGGCUUUUCAUACUUUUUGGUUUUAGGGUCCCUUUACAUUUUAAAAAAUGAGGGGAAAAAAAGCUUUCCUUUAGGUAGAGUACAGCUAUCAACACUUAAGUUAUUAUAAAUUAAAAGGGAACAAAUUGAAAAAUGUGGACUUAUUUUAAAAUAACCCAUUACAUGUUAACAUAAAUACUCUAAUGAAAAAUAACUAUUUUCCAAAACAACAACAACAAAGGGAGCAAAAAGAGAGGCACUGCUUUAUCUUUUUGCAAGUCAGUUUAAUGUGUGACUUAACAGAAGACAACAGAAGAUUCUCCUAUCUGCCUGUACAUUUGAUGGGCUGGAAUACUACAUGUCAUGUAGCUUCUGAAAAAUACAGUGCACUCAUGAGAGUGAGGAAAAAGACAAAGUCUUAUUAUCAUUACUAUGAAAAUAGUUUUGACCUUGUGGAUCCCUGACGAGUCUCACUUUGGGAACUUGUGUUAAAGAUGAAGGAACUGAGGCUCAGACAGGUUGUUCCUUGCCUAAGAUUACCCAGCAAAUUAAUGACAAAGGUGGAGUUAGAAUUCUGGGCCUUUAUACUCCUAGGAACGCUUUUCAUAUUAAUAUUAAUGAUUUUCCUGACCAAAUUUAUUUAGUACCUAUUUAUCUAUUACUGAAUGUCUUGCCAUCCAAGGUAGAAAUGUCCAUGCCAUCAUUAACUUAUACUUUUCUCUAACCACGCAUACCUAACCGGUCACCAAGUGUAUUGCAAAAAUGUCUCUUCCAGUCUUCCUCUCUCCAUUUCUAUGCAUCUCCCCCUGCUGACAUCUAUCUUAUUGAUUGAUUGAUUUUUAGAGAACUAGUGAGAGGAGGAGAGGGGCAGAGGGAGGGAGAGAGAAUCUCAAGCAGGCUCUGCACUGGGCUCCACGUUGGACGAGGGGCUUGAUCCCAUGACCCUAGGAGCAUAACCAAAGCUGAAGUCAACAGUCGGCCGUUCAACAGACUGAGCCACCCAGGUGCCCUUGACAUCUAUCUUUCUAAAAAAAAAAAAAAUUAAUCUGAUCAACCCACUACCCUGUUGAUAAGCCUCCUGUGGCUCCCCACUGGCUCAGAGAGAAAAUUCAAAGUAGCUCUCAAGGAUUCUCAGUUGAACCCAAUAUGACAUCUAGCAUCAUCUCUUUUCUGCCACCUAUACAUUUUGCCAACCUGAACUUUUCAUUUUGUUCAAACAUUUUAUGAUCUUCCACACCUUUGUGUCUUUAUCUGUCUGAAACACUUCUCCACUAUCCCCUUUUCUGCUGGGAAAACUUCCACUCAUCAGCUGUUGCUCUCUGUAUCACCUUCUCCAGGGCUCCCAAGGUAAACACUGCCAUGUAAUACCUACCACCUUAUUGUACUGUUGUUCACAUCUUUGCAUAUUUGUCUUGCCCAAACUCUGUGUCCUUUGAGGACAGGGAUGCUGUCUCUGUACCCUAGGGCACUCCUCAGCAUCAUAUAAAUGUGGCAUACAGCAGAAGUUCAUUCAUGCUUUAUGAGUAAAUAAAUAAACUAGAUAAAAUAUAGAAAUCUCAGAUGUAGUAUAUUAGUAAAAAUGGCAUGUUAGAAUGUGUUUAAAACAAAACUGGAUCUGAACAAUAAAAAAAAUUGGCUUGCAGCUCUGUACUUUUAUGCAGCCAAGUGCUUUGAUAUUAUUAAUUUGAUUUUGCCUAGGUAGUAGUCUAGGUCCUUCUAGUGAGGGGCAGAGAGAGAGAAGCGGGAUUCACCCAAAGCGGGACUCAAGCUCAAGAACCAUGAGAUCAUGAACUGAGUCGAAAUCAGAUUCUUAAUGACUGAGCCAGCCAGGCGCCCCUAGAGUCUAGCUGCUUUAACAGAGCAGCUCACAGGGAUGAUUUUAGAAUGAGACAACCUGGUCUGAAUCCUAGUUCUACUAAGUAGACUAGUUACCUCUACCAAGGAGUUUGUAAGCUGUAGCAGGUUAUCUUCCUAAGCCUCUCUUUAAAUAUUUGGGGAAUAGUUAUACCUACCUCAUAAGGUCUUAUGGAGACAAUAUGUAGAGCUUGGCACACACUUAGUGUUCUAUAAUAAUAGGCAGUAAUAACUUAGGUGAUUAUCAUUAUUUAAGAUACCUUCCUCAUUUUACAAAUGGUAAAGAAGCUGAGGCCCCAGACAGGUGAAGUGACUUAUGCAGUCACCCAACUAGUAAGCAGCAGAAUGUGGCUCGAACCUAGAACCGUUCACUAGGUUACAGAACUUUUUUGUACUCAGGAGGGGACAGGGCUGUAAGAAAACCUCCACAUAUAACCCUACUCCCAGUAGUACGUGUCCUCCUUUGCACAGUGUCCUCUGCGUCCCAGCAGAGACUGCUCAGUACCUUCGUAUCACCUUCCUUCGUGCAGGCCAUGGCCUCUACUUGACAUGUUUGCUUUCCUAGCCUCCCAGCUCCCACCUGUGGGAAUCUUAACCAUGUUUUCAUUCAUUUAAAAGACAUCUAUUAGCUUCUAGGUGUGAGGGACUAUGCCAGACUCUAGAGAUAUAAAAUUGAAAGAAAACAGUUUUGUCUCUUAAGGAAAGUACAGGUUAUUGGAAAGACAAACACAUAAACGGUAUAAACAACUGGACUAUAGGCUUGCAGAGGACCUAGGGGAAGGAACUUCUACAUGUUUCAUGGCUCCUUAAAAUCUGCCCUUAUGUCCUUCCCCGCCUCCUUCCAAAUAAAAAUUAAUAUUUUCUUUUCUGAUUUCCGAACCUUUAUUGAUACUUCUACAAACUCACCACAUUCUGUCACCUGCAAUCAGUGUGUCCCUGUUCAGUUCUCACUAGAUUGCAAAUGACACGAGGGUAACAACAACACAUUGUUUAUGUUUCUAUCUCUUGGGAUGGUUUGGCAGUGAUUUAAACAUACCAAGCACAGAAAUGUUGCCUAAACGCAACAGGAUAUGGAAAAAAAUUUCAUCAAUUUUAAUGCAAUGUUUUUUUUUUUUACACCUAUCAAAUAGACACCACGCAUGACCUGAAAUGCCUGGUGUAGAGAGUACCUGUUUUGCACUGAGGCCACCUUAGUGGAAAGGAGGCAGCGCACUAAUGAGGAAUAAAGAACCAGAAGAUGGGGCGCCUGAGUGGCUCAGUUGGUUAAGCAUCUGGUUUCGGGGCUCAGGUCAUG
Molecule: RNA transcript, 4718 nt
Organism: Suricata suricatta (meerkat)
Lineage: Eukaryota; Metazoa; Chordata; Mammalia; Carnivora; Herpestidae
Gene: TNFAIP8L2
Gene name: TNF alpha induced protein 8 like 2
Exons: 4
Source: RefSeq, a predicted model, not a curated record